AUUGAACGCUGGCGGCAGGCCUAACACAUGCAAGUCGAACGCGUGGCGGACGGGUGAGUAGUGUCUGGGAAACUGCCUGAUGGAGGGGGAUAACUACUGGAAACGGUAGCUAAUACCGCAUACCAUUGGAUGUGCCCAGAUGGGAUUAGCUAGUAGGUGGGGUACAGGCUCACCUAGGCGACGAUCCCUAGCUGGUCUGAGAGGAUGACCAGCAACACGGGAACGGAGACACGGUCCAGACUCCUACGGGAGGCAGCAGUGGGGAAUAUUGGACAAUUGGCGAAAGCCUGAUGCAGCCAUCCCGCGUGUAUGAAGAAGGCCUUCGGGUUGUAAAGUACUGUCAGCGGGGAGUCGUUACCCGCAGAAGAAGCACCGGCUAACUCCGUGCCAGUAGCCGCGGUAAUUC
Molecule: ribosomal RNA, 406 nt
Filed under: uncultured bacterium
Lineage: Bacteria
Description: partial 16S ribosomal RNA
Rfam family: Bacterial small subunit ribosomal RNA
Source: RNAcentral